Small nuclear RNA from Coregonus clupeaformis (lake whitefish), 115 nucleotides. RefSeq annotates it as U5 spliceosomal RNA. NCBI's taxonomy places the organism in Eukaryota, Metazoa, Chordata, Actinopteri, Salmoniformes, Salmonidae. The record is from RefSeq and is a predicted model, not a curated record. The transcript has a single exon.
AUACUCUGGUUUCUCUUCAGAUCGUAUAAAUCGUUCGCCUUUUGUUAAAGGUUUUCGUGGAGAAGUACAUUACGAGUAUCAACUAAUUUAUUGAUGGCCGAUCUACCUAUUCUUA